GUCCGACACCAAAGAAAUAGUUAUGGUGCUGCGUUUGCUAACCAUAGCCGCAAAUAUGAGAAUGACCUGGAGAAGGUGCAAAGAUGGAGGACAGCUCUUACAGAAGCAGCAAAUCUAAAAGGAGUUACUCUCAAUGAGGGAGAAAAAAAUGGGUAAGCAUAUAGUUUACAAAGAAUCCCCCACUGAACCGGGCAAGCGAAGCAGGUUGUGGCAUCAUGAAGAUGUGCGCAAUGUUCUAAUUGACAGUAGAGGAACAAAGAAAAUUAGAGGCACUGUUGUGAAUCUGUCCGAACCAGAUGUGAUACCCUUGAAAGCAAAAAGCUUCUCGAAGAUGGUGAAUCUUGAAUUUUUUAUAAACCGUAAUGCACACUUUUCAGGACGCAUUGAUUACCUGCCCAACAGUUUGAGGUUGAUUGAAUUCGGUGGACGAUUCAAUAUUAAUCAAAAGCAUACGUAUGUGCUCAAUUUGCCAUCCAAUUUUCAUCCGAGACAACUUGUUAGCUUUGAUGUGUCAUACAGUGGCAUAAGACAAUUGAAGGAAUCUAAGAAUUUGGCAAAGCUUACAUGGAUGAAUUUAAGUGGUUGCGAAUUCUUAAAAAAAAUCCCGGACUUAUCUGGAAGCCCAAACAUAAUUGAGUUGGAUCUAAGUGACUGCACAAGUUUGGUCGAGGUUGAUGAUUCAGUUGGAUUCCUUGAUAAACUUGAAAUAUUGAAUCUUAGUGGGUGCUCUAAGCUUACGAGGUUUAUAACAAGACUUGGAUUGAGAUCCCUUAAAGAGCUUUAUCUUUCUGGUUGCACAAGGUUGGAGAGAUUUCCAGAAAUAGAGAAGGACAAGAUGAAAUCUCUGAGGCAUUUGAAGAUAGGAAAAAGUGGCAUAAGAGAAUUGCCUUCAUCAAUUGCGUAUCUUACUGGGCUUACGGACUUGAUUGCAAAUGGUUGUGAGUUGCAAAAUGUCCCCAACUUAUCCAGAUGCCCAAACAUAGAGGAGUUGGAUCUAAGUGACUGCACAAGUUUGGUCGAGGUUGAUGAUUCAGUUGGAUUCCUUGAUAAACUUGCAAUAUUGAAUCUUAGUGGGUGCUCUAAGCUUACGAGGUUUGCAACAAGACUUGGAUUGAGGUCCUUAUAUGAACUUGAUCUCAGAGGUUGCAGAAGGCUCGAGAGUUUCCCAGAAAUAGAGGGCAAGAUGGAAUCCGUAUGGUAUUUGGAUAUAGAAAAAAGUGGCAUAAGAGAAUUGCCAUCAAUUGCUUAUUUUACUAGGCUUGAGACAUUGAAAGCAAAUGGUUGUGAGUUGCAAAAUAUCCAACUCUUCCCUUUUGGAAAGAAGGUGAAGUUUGAAGAAGUUUCAUCCUGCAGAACCAAUUUACGACUGUCUCUUGAUCUGGAAGGAUGCAAUUUAUCAGAAAGUGAUUUCCUUGUGCCUCUUGAUUGCUGGUCCGCAUUAACAAAACUUAAUCUGUCGAGCAACAAUUUUGUUAGCCUUCCGGAUUGUAUUAGCAACGCUGUCAACUUGGAGAGACUUCUCUUGAUGGCUUGCAAGAGGCUUCGAGAAAUUCCAGUCCUUCCACCAAAACUAAAAGAGUUACAUCUGGAUGAUUGCACAUCAUUGGAGAAAAUUCCAAAACUGCCCCCGAGGCUUGCGAUUCUUAGCUUGUGUCACUGCUCUGGACUUAGUGGUGAUGAGGUGGGGCUUGCGAUUCUUAGCUUGUGUCACUGCUCUGGACUUAGUGGUGAUAAGGUGGCAAAGUUGGAAAACAACUUGUUGAAUGAGGAAAUUAAUCCGCACUCUCGAUUGGAUAUUAUUUACCCAGGCAAUGUAGUUCCAAAGUGGUUCAGUUAUACCUCAGAUCAUCCCACAACCAUUCAACCUCUACCAGAAUAUGAAUGGGAUGAAUAUGACAGGAAACGAAAAUUUGGAGGCAGAGAAUUUCGUUUUGAAAUUCCUCUAAAAUUACAAGUGGGGGAGACGUUAUUAGGAUUGGCUCUAUCUUUUGUUCUUGAACCAUCAACGGAAAUUUAUGCUGAUGACAAGUGUAUUUUCAUCAACGGAAAAACAACGUGUGUACCUUAUCCAUGGUAUGCAACGGACAUAAAGGCAACUCAUGUGAGGUUUACGUUAGUGAAUUUAGAGGAGCUGGAGCAGCAGGGAGAUAUUUGUCAAGUUGUAUUUCGUUUGAGCAAAGGGUGUCCCAUUAAAAGCUGCGGCGUGCACUGCCUAUUGCGGAACCAAGACGAACUGCUUCACUUGUCUCUAAGACCACCGAGCAGCCUUGGGAAGAGGCCUCGUCCACGUGGAUCCUCAGAUAUCUUUGACAAUGAAUAUGAUCAGCAACAACAAUGGCUUUCCUCAUCUUCGGAGCCAGCAGAUGAUCAUCCAAAACGCAGGCAGAUUGAUCCCAAUGUUCCUAUUGAGGAGGAUGAGGAGCAAGAGCAACCAUUCGCUUCAGAUGAUCCGCAAUUUCUGAUUUCUUAAAGAGUUUUGGAGGAAAUGGUUGAGAUUACAUGUCUAUAAAGGUUGAGUCCCUGCUCAAGGGGAAAACACGUUCUUAUUCAGUAAACUAGCCCUAUUCUAGUGAAAGCAUAAGGUCCCCAUUGAGUAGAAGACUUACCUCUGCAAACUCUGUUGCAAUGGCUUCUUCAGGUUUGAUUUAUACUCUGCUUAUUAAUGUUGUAAUCUAUGUGAAGCUAAAAUUAUAAAACUCCAACAUUUGGUAUUAGAGCCUCUAUUAGCUCUUCAUAGAUUCACUGUAUUCUAUAUUAUAUGUUCCGCUGUGAUAUUUGACGUUGUGUUUUCUUGAGUGCUUCUUCAGGAGCAAAAUCGAUUCAACGUGAUAUGAGUUCCAACCUCAUUAUCAUCAAAAGGAAAUCAUGCUGUUAAACCAUUAAAACAAAUGUUUGUAAAGUCUACACCAAAGUGGGAUUUUAAUAAAAUUUUGUUUACUAAGGAGGUUGCAUGGAGGGUGAUUCGUAGUACAUGACAUGAUAACUAUAAUCCAAAGGGUAUUAAGUUAACUGGUUGGUUUUAUUAAUCAGUGUAUAGGUUUUUAGUUAGUCUUUGAGUCAACUAUUUUCUCGUCCAAAGAUUAGAAUUUUAGUUGUAACUUGAACCCUAAUUAAGAAGGCUAUACAAUAAGGAUGCAUGAUCAGUCCAUAUGCAUAAAAUGCAGUCGUGUAUCUUGCCCAAAGGUGUUACAUGUAUCUGUGAUUGAUUAUUUUUCAAUGAAGUUAUUUGAUUGUUUUAUGUGGCUUCCUCAAUGAAUUCGAAUGCUCUAAGUUUCUCCUCCAUUGAGCCCUUGAAUGGAGGGAAUUUCAAGAAGUGGAAGCAAGAUGUUGAGAUCGUGCUAGGACUGAUGGAUUACGAUCUUGCACUGAGGGAAGACCAGCCACCUGCUGUGACUGAAAACAGCACCAAUGAGCAAAGGAUGAAGACUGAAAGAUGGGAGAAAUCCAACAGGAUGGCUCUCAUGGUGAUGAAGAGGUCAAUCACUGAGACAGUCAGAGGUGGGAUUCCAGUGUGCGAAAAGGCGAAAGAUUUCCUGGAGGCUGUGGGUGCAAAGUUUAAGGUUUCCGAGAAGGCAGAAAUGGGCAACUUGAUGACCACUCUGACGUCACUCAAGUUCGAUGGGAAAACCAGUGUUCGUGAGCACAUUUUGAAGUUGGUAGACGCUGCAGCCAAGCUAAAGGAUCUCGAGAUGCCACUUGAUGACUUUUUUGUUGUUCAUAUGGCACUCUCAUCACUACUUGAGUCAUUUGAACAACUUAAGAUAUCAUACAACACACAAAAGGAAAAGUGGACACUUGACGAGAUGAUCUCUAUUUGUGUGCAAGAGGAGAGUAGGCUGAGCAAGAUCAAGCCUGGGACUGUGAAUUUAGUGAACUUCAAUGCUACGAAAAGGCCUAUGCUGAACAUUGGUAAGCAAACUAAGCCCUAUACUACCUCUAAUGUUGCUGCCAAUAUUGCUUCCUCCUCUAGAGGACCUCAAAACUAUAAGGUGGACUUGGAAAAUAUGAAGUGUUAUUUUUGCAAACAAUUGGGACAUUUGAAAAGGGACUGUGAGAAAAGAAAGAAAUGGGCAGUGAAGAAAGGGCCCUUCAAGAAGAGCGUCAACAAGUAAUGAAGUUUUUGAAGUGCAUGUAGGGAAUGGAAAUAAAGUAGCUGUGGAAGCAAUAGGCAACCUCAAGCUUAGACUAUCUACUGGAUUUGUUUUAGAACUUUUUGAUGUUCUUUAUGUUCCGUCAUUAACUAGGUCUUUAGUUUCUGCUUCAAAACUUGUAAGGAAUGGUUUUGCUUUCAUCGGAGACGAUGAGAGCAUAAGGUUAUUUAUGAAGAAUGAUUUGAAUUA
Non-coding RNA from Malus domestica (apple), 4340 nucleotides. Lineage: Eukaryota; Viridiplantae; Streptophyta; Magnoliopsida; Rosales; Rosaceae. The record is from RefSeq and is a predicted model, not a curated record.